This 301-nucleotide ribosomal RNA is filed under the name uncultured bacterium. Its description in RNAcentral is "partial 16S ribosomal RNA". It matches the Rfam family "Bacterial small subunit ribosomal RNA", at positions 509 to 809 of the family's 1533-position model. The record is from RNAcentral.
CAGCCGCCGCGGGAAUACAGAGGGUGCAAGCGUUAAUCGGAAUUACUGGGCGUAAAGCGCGCGUAGGUGGUUUGUUAAGUUGGAUGUGAAAUCCCCGGGCUCAACCUGGGAACUGCAUCCAAAACUGGCAAGCUAGAGUAUGGUAGAGGGUGGUGGAAUUUCCUGUGUAGCGGUGAAAUGCGUAGAUAUAGGAAGGAACACCAGUGGCGAAGGCGACCACCUGGACUGAUACUGACACUGAGGUGCGAAAGCGUGGGGAGCAAACAGGAUUAGAUACCCGAGUAGUCCCUGUCUCUUAUAA